AGCGAACGCUGGCGGCAUGCCUAACACAUGCAAGUCGAACGAGACCUUCGGGUCUAGGGGCGCACGGGUGCGUAACGCGGGGUAACCUGCCCUUAGGUUCGGAAUAACUCCCCGAAAGGGGUGCUAAUACCGGAUAAUGUCUUCGGACCAAAGAUUUAUCGCCCUUGGCUGGGCCCGCGUUGGAUUAGCUAGUUGGUAGGGUAAAAGCCUACCAAGGCGACGAUCCAUAGCUGGUCUGAGAGGAUGAUCAGCCACACUGGGACUGAGACACGGCCCAGACUCCUACGGGAGGCAGCAGUGGGGACUAUUGGACAACGGGCGAAAGCCUGAUCCAGCAAUGCCGCGUGAGUGAUGAAGGCCUUAGGGUUGUAAAGCUCUUUUACCCGGGAUGAUAAUGACAGUACCGGGAGAAUAAGCUCCGGCUAACUCCGUG
RNAcentral lists this ribosomal RNA (433 nucleotides) under uncultured bacterium. Its description in RNAcentral is "partial 16S ribosomal RNA". It matches the Rfam family "Bacterial small subunit ribosomal RNA", at positions 29 to 507 of the family's 1533-position model. The record is from RNAcentral.